UGGGGGAUAUUGCACAAUGGGCGAAAGCCUGAUGCAGCGACGCCGCGUGGGGGAUGAAGGCCUUCGGGUUGUAAACUUCUUUUGCUCUGAACAAGGCGCACCAUGGGGUGUGUUGAGUGUAGGGGUUGAUUAGCGCCGGCUAACUACGUGCCAGCAGCCGCGGUAAUACGUAGGGCGCGAGCGUUGUCCGGAAUUAUUGGGCGUAAAGGGCUUGUAGGUGGCUGGUUGCGUCUGUCGUGAAAGCUCAUGGCUUAACUGUGGGUUUGCGGUGGGUGCUGGCUGGCUUGAGUGCAGUAGGGGAGGCUGGAAUUCCUGGUGUAUCGGUGGAAUGCGCAGAUAUCAGGAGGCGUACCGGUGGCGAAGGCUGGUCUCUGGGCUGUUGCUGACACUGAGGAGCGAAAGCAUGGGGAGCGAACAGG
This 419-nucleotide ribosomal RNA is filed under the name bacterium. RNAcentral's name for it is "partial 16S ribosomal RNA". It matches the Rfam family "Bacterial small subunit ribosomal RNA", at positions 355 to 776 of the family's 1533-position model. The record is from RNAcentral.